UGAAUACGAGACGCUAAGGCGUCGAAGUAGUGUAUGUCAUGCUUCCAAGAAAAGCUUGCACUGUCAUAGAUAAAAAACGCCUGUACCAUAACCGACACAGGUGGGUAGGUAGAGUAUACUAAGGGGCGCGAGAUAACUCUCUCUAAGGAACUCGGCAAAAUAACUCCGUAACUUCGUGAGAAGGAGUGCCUUAUUCGUAAGGUUGCAAUAACAAGAUCCAAGCAACUGUUUAUCAAAAACACAGGUCUCCGCUAAGUCGUAAGACGAUGUAUGGGGGCUGACGCCUGCCCCGUGCCAGAAGGUUAAAGAAGUCGGUUAGCAAUUGCGAAGCUGGUAACUGAAGCCCUGGUGAACGGUGGCCGUAACAAUAACGGUCCUAAGGUAGCGAAAUUCCUUGUCGGGUAAGUUCCGACCCGCACGAAAGGCGUAAUGAUUUGGAUACUGUCUCGGAGAGGGGCUCGGUGAAAUAGACUUGUCUGUGAAGAUGCGGACUACCUGCACCAGGACAGAAAGACCCUAUGAAGCUUUACUGUAACUUGAAAUUGAAAUUGGACUUUAUUCGCGCAGUAUAGGUGGGAGGCGUUGAUUAUAAUCUUGCGGGAUUAUUGGAGCCAUCAGUGAGAUACCACCCUUGUAAUGUUAGAUUUCUAACUUUGAAUCAUUAUCUGGUCAAAGAACAGUUUCAGGCGGGCAGUUUGACUGGGGCGGUCGCCUCCUAAACGGUAACGGAGGCGUACAAAGGUUUCCUCUGAACGGUUAGAAAUCGUAUCUAGAGUGUAAAGGCAUAAGGAAGCUUGACUGUGAGACCUACAAGUCGAGCAGGGACGAAAGUCGGUCUUAGUGAUCUGACGGUACUGAGUGGAAAGGCCGUCACUCAACGGAUAAAAGUUACUCUAAGGAUAACAGGCUGAUCUCCCCCAAGAGUUCACAUCGACGGGGAGGUUUGGCACCUUGAUGUCGGCUCAUCGCAUCCUGGGGCGGUAGUACGUCCCAAGGGUUGGGCUGUUCGCCCAUGAAAGCGGUACGCGAGCUGGGUUCAGAACGUCGUGAGACAGUUCGGUCCAUAUCCGGUGUAGGCGUUAGAAUAUUGAGAGGAGCCUUCUUUAGUACGAGAGGACCGAGAAGGACAUACCUCUGGUGUACCAGUUAUCGUGCCAACGGUAAACGCUGGGUAGCUAUGUAUGGAGUGGAUAACCGCUGAAAGCAUCUAAGUGGGAAGCCCACCUCAAGAUAAGUAUUCUCA
This 1243-nucleotide ribosomal RNA is filed under the name metagenome. Its description in RNAcentral is "bacterial LSU rRNA". It matches the Rfam family "Bacterial large subunit ribosomal RNA", at positions 1564 to 2816 of the family's 2925-position model. The record is from RNAcentral.